RNAcentral lists this long non-coding RNA (411 nucleotides) under Canis lupus familiaris (dog). RNAcentral's name for it is "lncRNA (ENSCAFG00000053481.1, ENSCAFG00845005423.1)". The record is from RNAcentral. Lineage: Eukaryota; Metazoa; Chordata; Mammalia; Carnivora; Canidae.
GUUCAUUGUAUUUCAAGAUCACACAUUUGGACCAUUCUUCUUCCAGACUCUGCCUCUCUGGAUGGCCCAGCAAAGGUCUUAAGAAAAAAAAUCAGUUCAUAGAAAGACUUCCUGCACCUGGAAAAGACAACUCUAAGCUUUCUUUCGAGACACUGGCAUGAAAUAUCCCCUCAUCCAGGUUCUGCUUGGUUUGUGUUUUGUUUUCACAAGACACCUGAGAAAUUCCUGGACCAUCUUGCUAUCUGACUUUCUGGACAUUUAGAGGUGCUUGGAGUGUUGACAACACCUGCCUACAGUAGGCUUGUUCUAUCAUAAAGUUUGCAAAAUCUUCCUCUAAUUCCAAUUUUAUUAAAGGAGUACAGGUGGCAGUUGCUAUCAUUGUUCUGUUAUUUGUUAUUUUUUUCCUCUCUG